CUAGCUAACUGAAAUCAUUAAUUGAACAUAUUCAAUGUGAUGUGGUAAGGGAAAAUAAUGAUAUUACCUUACUUAUAGUGUUGUCUAAGUCUGGUGCCAGAAGACUCGGUAAGGCCAGGAACGCAAACGUUAAUCAUCAUAAACAGGCGUAAAGGGUUCGUAGGCUGCUUUUUUUAGUGAUAAUUAAAGCUAGAAUCAAACAGAAGUUAAAAAGUAUAAUACUUAGAGAAGGGAUUAUAUCCUUAGAACCUAAGGGGAAUACUAAAGGUGUAAACAACUAACUAUAAAUGAUUGACGCUGAGAGACGAAGGUGAGGAUAGGAAAUAGGAUUAGAUNCCCCGGUNCCCCUCUCUGUCAACGAUGAAUCGGUAGUU
Molecule: ribosomal RNA, 374 nt
Filed under: Fomitopsis nigra
Lineage: Eukaryota; Fungi; Basidiomycota; Agaricomycetes; Polyporales; Fomitopsidaceae
Description: partial small subunit ribosomal RNA
Rfam family: Bacterial small subunit ribosomal RNA
Source: RNAcentral